Harpia harpyja (harpy eagle) is the source of this 2187-nucleotide long non-coding RNA. RefSeq lists it as uncharacterized. The transcript has 4 exons. NCBI's taxonomy places the organism in Eukaryota, Metazoa, Chordata, Aves, Accipitriformes, Accipitridae. The record is from RefSeq and is a predicted model, not a curated record.
CCUUUCUCUUUCAUCAGAGUUUUGGGCUGCCCCUGCCAGGCGGGGGUGAAGGGCAGGUCAGGCAGCGGGACUGCGAUCCCUCCCCAUCUCAUCAGCCGAAUCCCCCUCCUCCCCGGGCAGCUGAUCAGACCCAGCAGCGAUGGGGUAGACCGAAACAACGGGAAGAAUUUGGUCAGGCUGUGCAUUUCUCCUUCAGGUGGGGUCACCCAGACGCCGUGGAAGGAGAGCCGCAGGGAUGCGUUUUGGCAGGCGCCCACACUUUUUUCUCCUUCCCGUGCCCCAGAAGGGAAAGCGAUGAAUUCUGCCAAAGAUGCGUGCUUGGAUGUGAGAUGAUUUAGCCAAAGAGAAAAUAACUGGAUGGCUGGAAGAAGGAGCAUUUGAUAGGAAAUAAUCUUGGAGCGCAGCUCUCUGACAUGAUGGUGUGCAAGGUGCCCAGCUUCCUGAGAUGACCAUGCUCCAUGAAAUGCCAAUGGGGAAAAUAACUUCCAGUGGCAACGACAAAGGACAAUAAAGACAACCAGAUCACACAGAAUCCAAUGCAAGAGAGACUGCAGAGUGGGCUGGGUGCUCCCUUCUGCUCCUCUGCACCUGAUCAAGAAAUGGUUUCAGCAUCGAUACACGUAAAGUUCCUCCUGUUCAGUUUCAGACUCUGACUAGGUGCUGAGGCAAUGAGUCGAGCAUUUGGCUGGUGUAAAUCAGUGCAACUCAACUGACUUGGUCGUGUUGUACCUGUAGAUGUGUUGCUUCUUCCUCCACCGGGAAGAUGUCGGCCACUCCCCCACUGCAAGGCAAGAGUGCGGGCAGCUUCUCCACGCCGAUGCUGUAGGACCACAGCAGUGAGUGAUACCUGAGCAAAAACUCACACCUCCUUGCUCAUCACUUCAUAGUAUCUGGUCUGCAGCCCGCAAGUGAAACUACAGCUCCCAACACCUGGGAUCUGUGCCUGACUGGCUGCCUACUACCUUUGGGCAUGUCGCUUCUCCCGUCUCUGCCUCAGCUUCCCCGACUGUACGACGCUUUAUGAAGGACUUUGAAUAUCACUGAUUAAAAAGCAUUCAAUGAGAUCGUCUUGUCCUUCUGGCCUGAUGUACAUUAUAUGGCCACUGUGGCUGGGAAUAAACAUCCCUCUGUUUCCCUCGUUUCACAGUGACACCCGGUUCCCAGGAUUAUCUCCCCCCUUGUCUGUGACAACACUGGAGAAAAAAAACCUCAAAGAUGUUCACGGCGUGGAUGUCGGGGCUGACACAUGGACAUCACGUCACUGUUUGUGUCCAUUCAUCUCUCGUUAACAGCUUACCGUAGAUCAAAACCCUUGCUUUGGAUUUAUUAUGUGCAAUAAAAGAAGAUUUGCUGGACCCCACGGUGCCCAUGUGCCCGGGAAGUGCUGGGCUGUGGGUGCCAGCACUGCCGGGCCAGGGGGGCCAUGCUGCGCAGGGAGCCCAGUCCUGGGUGAGGGCGAGGAUGAAGGUGAGGGCAUGUUUGAAGGCUUUGGGCGAGGAGGACAGUUUUGGUGAGGUUGCAUCCCCCUCUGCUGGAACAUCCAAGCAAAGGCAGAAGAACACCCGCCGACCAGGGAGAAAACUGAGGUGAGAAAAAAAGAAAAUAAAUGUGUAAAGAAAGCAAAUGAGCCCCGGUCCCCUGGGGUCCGCAGGGGACGUCGCGGGCAGCCAGCCUCAUCUGUAGCUGGGGGUUCGUCCGCUGCUGGCCGCGACGAGAGGGCUCUUGUCGGGGACGAUCAGGCCCUCUGUGGAAAUAGGGACCAUGUCUUGUUUGUGCCAGGCAUAAUCCUGCUCCCCGUCACGGGAAUGGGCGAGUGGGGCAGGGGCAGCGAUGCCGGCUGCUGGCAAAUAUGCACCGCGGCUGGUCAGCAAGAGGGGAGAUGGACGGAGAGGAGCUGGGCACUGGGCGUCCCCGUGGGAUGGACCUGCUCAGGGGUCUGGGACACCGCGCUGGGUGACACCGUGGGUCAGGCAGGUCCUGACUACGUGGCGGGCUCUGACAGCAGGCAGAAUAUAGUAAGUGUAGCUAAGCAGAAUUGCACAGACAAAGACAGUGCUUUGAUGCUGGAUUCAAAGCUGCUUCGUAGCCCAGGUGGGGCCAAGGGGCCGUGGCUGAUGGGUACUGAGGUGCAAAACACCUUGGUGGGACUUAAAUACGUAAGGAAACCUGAACCGUAGGCACCUAAAU